RNAcentral lists this ribosomal RNA (467 nucleotides) under uncultured bacterium. RNAcentral's name for it is "partial 16S ribosomal RNA". It matches the Rfam family "Bacterial small subunit ribosomal RNA", at positions 28 to 506 of the family's 1533-position model. The record is from RNAcentral.
GACGAACGCUGGCGGCGUGCUUAACACAUGCAAGUCGAACGGAAAGGCCCUGCUUUUGUGGGGUGCUCGAGUGGCGAACGGGUGAGUAACACGUGAGUAACCUGCCCUUGACUUUGGGAUAACUUCAGGAAACUGGGGCUAAUACCGGAUAGGAGCUCCUGCUGCAUGGUGGGGGUUGGAAAGUUUCGGCGGUUGGGGAUGGACUCGCGGCUUAUCAGCUUGUUGGUGGGGUAGUGGCUUACCAAGGCUUUGACGGGUAGCCGGCCUGAGAGGGUGACCGGCCAAAUUGGGGAUGAGAUACGGCCCAGCCUCCUAGGGGGGGCAGGAGGGGGGAAUAUUGCACAAGGGGGGGAAGCCUGAUGCAGCAACGCCGGGGGCGGGAUGACGGCCUUCGGGUUGUAAACCGCUUUGGCCUGUGACGAAGCGGGAGUGACGGUAAUGGGUAAAGAAGCACCGGCUAACUACGU